RNAcentral lists this ribosomal RNA (291 nucleotides) under uncultured bacterium. Its description in RNAcentral is "partial 16S ribosomal RNA". It matches the Rfam family "Bacterial small subunit ribosomal RNA", at positions 506 to 796 of the family's 1533-position model. The record is from RNAcentral.
UGCCAGCAGCCGCGGUAAUACUGAAGGUGCAAGCGUUAAUCGGAAUCACUGGGCGUAAAGCGCUCGUAGGUGGCUUUGUAAGUCAGGUGUGAAAGCCCACGGCUCAACCGUGGAAUUGCACUUGAUACUGCAUCGCUAGAGUAUAGGAGAGGGAAGUGGAAUUUCUGGUGUAGGAGUGAAAUCCGUAGAGAUCAGAAGGAACACCCGUGGCGAAGGCGACUUCCUGGACUAUUACUGACACUGAGGAGCGAAAGCGUGGGGAGCAAACAGGAUUAGAAACCCCCGUAGUCC